CCCGUUGUACACACCGCCCGUCACACCAUGGGAGUUGGUUUUACCCGAAGGUGCUGCGCCAACCGCAAGGAGGCAGGCAACCACGGUAGGGUCAGCGACUGGGGUG
This 106-nucleotide ribosomal RNA is filed under the name uncultured bacterium. Its description in RNAcentral is "partial 16S ribosomal RNA". It matches the Rfam family "Bacterial small subunit ribosomal RNA", at positions 1377 to 1482 of the family's 1533-position model. The record is from RNAcentral.